AGUUUUGAGAUUAUGCUGUUGAUGUUCAGUUAAAAAACAUGCAGUUGACGUGAAUGAGCCCUGCAUUUCAAAUAUUUUAGUUUGAGAAGGUCUUCAAGCUAAAAUAUUUAAUGGCUUACAGUUUCAUGUAAACACUAACGUUUCACGUUCAAAUAACGUAUGCUUAGGCUACAUAUUAUAAUGUUAUAUUUUAUUAGGUAUUGUUUGUAACUGUCGCGAGUUGGAGGGAGAUCGGAUUUCUCAAGACCACGGGAUGUUUCAGAGGAAGUCUUUUAACAACUGGGAAAGAAAUAAGUAGCUGUUGGACAAAAUCAUUUAACAAUUAUCAUACAACGCUAUUAUACAGACAUGAAAACGUAAAACACCUGGUAAAGCCAUAUGUUUUAUCACUUGCCAUUUUGUGCUGCCUUUUUAUUUUCAAUUAUUUGUAAAAACAAAACAAAAAAAACCCAGUUUCAACAAUUAAAUUUUUCCUGAAGGUAUAUUGAUUCCAGCUUAUGACUAAUGCGAAGUUCUUUUCAAGUUAGAACAAAGAAAGUUGGUGGAAGAAGAAGAAGAAUCGUGAGUUCAUCUGAAAGGCAGUGGGUUUGUGUUUAGCUGAUCAAAAAGAAAACAUAAAGCAUAAUCAGAUUUAGAGGCUGAUAUAACAGACUCACUUGAUGAACAGAAUAUUGCAGAUAAAAACUCUUUUGUAGUUUUCUCCCUAACAACCAAUCAGAAGAACAGCAGCAGUGACUCAGACUACCCCGGCAGAAAUGCCAAACAAGCUUCGACACAUUCCCCUCGUCGCUCUCAGGUUCGCUCUCCGCUGACAGGAUCCAAAGCACCAGGCAGGGUUGGUGUCAGAUACGUUUACGGCCAGCAGUGUUCACGUGCGCAUUCGCAAACUGAAAUCUGUCAUUUUUAAUAUUUCUUGUGAAGUAAUUGUCUUCCUCCAGACAACCCACAGUCCUGCAGCUCCGUUUUUCUCUUCAAGACAUCUCGGCUGAUUUCUUUGGACUUUCCCACCGGUACAAAACAAACAAACAAACAAAAAAAAGCAUGGUGUUCUAGGUGUGGAAUUAAAACACAUCCACAGGUGUGACUCCAGCUAACUCAAAUGUGUUGACUAACCUGUUUAUCAUCAACAUCUGGAGUUUCCCUUAUUGUUUAAAGAGAUAGUAGAGUAGAAUAGAAAUAUCUUUUAUUGUCCCCACUUGGGAAAGUUCAGGUGCAACAGCAGCAAAGUGACACGCAAUUGAGUCUUGUAGCUUCACACAAAGAUAAAAGUAUAAAAAUACCAAGUAAUAUAUAUGUAUAAUUUGAAUAAAGGGUCAAGAGUUGCAUUAUUUUGACAUGGGAGGCUUGAGGGGAAGAAAGCAAGCAAGCUGUCAUGUUUGAUGUUUUAUGAAGAACCUUUGCACAAAGACCACACCUGAUAAGAGAAAGUACAUUAAUCGUCCCUCGCAGUAAUCAGACUUCAAAUGAGCAGAGAGAGAAUGGGGGGAAAGACAUAACAAAGGGGUCAAAGGUCAGGAUUUGAACCUCUGAUGGCUCAGUCAAAAGUAAUAUUUCUGUAUUUGAGGCACCAGCGUAGCCCCAGGUAACAGCCCCACUGGCACAAACAAAGCCUGGUUUUUGAAGUAAUGGUCUUUGUCUGUGGGAUUACACAGUUGGUGAGCUGAACUGAAUGUUCACUCUGUGUCCUAACGUGUCCUCGAUUAACCUUGAGCUUAACUUCUGCCUCAAGCCGGCCGGUGUUAUCUAAUGCCAGAAAACUCUGUCCCUCUGAAACUGUAACCAGACGGGUUCAAAACAGUAACAGUGUACAUGUGUUUGUGGUACAAAGGUCAGAAAAAAUAAAAAUAAUAAUCUGACCUGGUCACAUCACACAAAAAAUGUGGUGACAUCACAUUUUUGCAACUUAUGUGUGCUGAUCAGUGUUGAGUUAGUGCAAGGACAGGCAGACAGGUAGUGAUGGGUUAACCGAGAGGCACAGAACCAGUGCCAUGUGUGAAGCCCGAUCAAAGAAAUCAAACGUGGAUCAACUUGUUGCACACGAAGAAAGAAAUGAUGAGGACCAGUGCAGUGCUUUGGGAUUGAUGUAAAAUAAGACCAAAAAAAAAACAUAGAUGUUUAGAGACUAACCUUCACUAAAUAAUAUCUGAGGAAAUUGUAGCCAAAAGUUUGGAAAUGAUCAGUAUCGUCAUGGUGCGUCGUUGUGAGGAUCAGACCCAAAUGCAAGCAGAGGUGGCGAGUAGAUGGUGGAUAUUUAAUGAGAAAAUAACAAAACAAUGAGUUACAAAGCAACAGGGAGGACACGGGGAGCGAGAGCAGGAACAAACAGGAACCAGGUACAAGGAGGUAACAGAAAAAUCCAGUGAGGAAUGAAGGAGACUGGAACCGUCAGUGCUUGAACAAUGAAAUGGGACUGAUUGAUAACUGGGUGCAGCUGUGAGGGCGGAGGAGAAGGCAGGCCGAGGGAGAGAGAGGGGAAGAUGGCACAGUGGAGCCAGGAGAAGCUGGGAAAACAUGAAUAACUAUAACCAACAAUAACUAAACAAACACCAAAAAAGGCUGAUCAAAAGAAAAGACUGAAACUAAGGCUAAACAGGGUUAAACAACGCAGUUGGACAAGCAAACAGAACUCAUACUUUAAAUAUACGUACCUAGUUUUGUUCAGAAUCUUCACUCUGUAAUCUUGGACCCAAAGUUAACACCAAAGUUAACUGUAGUGUUAGACUACAGUUAAACCCUCCUGUGGUCCGGAGCCCAAAGAGUUAACUGCUCUGGAUUAAGAAGAAAAAUCCCUGCUCAACCUCAGAGACAACAUCUGGCCAGACAGAAGACACCUUAACUCCACCAUCCAUUACUGACUGGGAAAAAUCUCAGCGUCAGUCAGGGUUUGGGCCAUAGAUGAGUUAGUCCAACAUGACAGAAUGAACUAUGGAGGUUAACACGAAGGUCAACAUUUUACACUGUAGAUUCAUUGCAUAAAUGCUGUUUGAUAAGAAAAUACAAAAUAUUUAUCCAUGCACAGUCAUGAGUCUACAUAUUCAUACAUUUUGACUUAUUUCAGUUUUACUGAUUGAGUGACUUAGAGGGUUCUCCUUCAUAGAUCAUGUUUUGGGGAACACCUUGUCAGAAGCUUGAAUUUAUGUCAGCCUUGCAUGAAUGGCACCAGUAGGGGCCCAGACCCUCACAGUAUACUGUCAAAGGGGCUGCCGUAGCAUCAGUAAUAAUUCAAAGAACAUUUUCAUUUCACUCAGAAGCUUGUUGACUACCGGUACCUCAGUGUGCAAAGCCAAACAGUCCACAGAGGCUUGACCCCAACCAUACGGUUUGUCUGCCAGCUUGCGGAAAGUCGGCUAGUGCUGCUGUGAAGAAGCAGCACUUUUACACCGAUUUAGCAAGUAGUAAAACUUCAUAAAGCAGCAAUACCUUAAACCACGGUAGCUAAGAAGACAUUGGUUUGCAGAGGUUUUUCCAAGUCCAACUCCACCACAGUGGCAAUUAACGCCGUGCAGGUCCUCGACUCACAGGGAGAUAUUUCACCCCUAGCUAGAGAAGUGGUGAGCUUCGUACCUGUGUGGCUAACUUUAAAUGCACAUGAGCUAGUUUUAUCAACACCACUCAGCAAUGCCAGGGAACUAUCAACCAAGUCUCUGCAUGAAAAAGUAUUUGGAAGCUGGUGUGCAGGCUCGCCCUCAAUCUCCCAUUGUUGCUUGAUGGUGUUGACCUCAUAGAACCUUAUAAAUAAAACAAUUUCACACAGAGAAGAUAUUUGGCACUCUUUCUUCCUUUCAUACUGGCUUCAGGGCUGAAAAACAGCGGGCCAACAUCCAUUGGUGAGUCAUUACAUAAAAGGCUCACACAGAAAAAUUACCCAGUGUCAGGCCGCUGACUCCACCAUGGAGCCUUCACAUUGUUUAGGAGCCAUUUCUUCUUAUUAUUUUGAAUGUGUGAAAGAAGUUACACACCAGCUCCAUCGGCCAUAGAAUUUGGCUAUUUGACAUUUUGAAGAUGAAUUUGCUUAAUGGAAACACGGCAAUUCAGGAAAAAAACUCUCGUUCUUCAAUAAAAAGUUUUGGCUCUAGGAUGAGGUGGUUUUUCUAGCAAUAUUGAUAUUGGUUCAUGUUGCACCACACGAGUCACAUGAUCGACAACCGGAUGUUGCCACUGGCGCAAACCAUGAAGAAGAAAACGACAGGAAGUGGUCGGAGGAUUAUGGUGCAGUGUGUUGUUUCUUUUAAUGACUUGGUGCGUGAACAAAAUUAUUCAUAUGAGAUUUGAAUUGUGUUUCUCAUUCAAUGGAAACACGGUAAUUGCGGGAUUUUAUUUUAUUUUUUUUACAUUAGCGGAAUAUUGACAAAGUUUCAUACACAUUUGUAAUGGAUACAAAGCUAGUCAUGCUAAUCGGAAGAGUGGCGUUAGUUCCUCUUAAGUGAUCUGGGUAAUAAUGUGAUAUUAGUUGAAUUCAUUUCUUGCAGAUGUUUCAGCUUCAAGACUUUUUGCAUCUAAAGACUGAAUGUUUUGGGGGGGGUUUGAAAAUGUUGUCCAUUUUGUUCUUGCAGGACAGCAACGAACAUCACUUUUUAAGUCAAAUAUUAUCAGUUGGAUUCAGGACACCAUAAAGGUAAUUUCUGCAGCGCUAAUUUCAUUAGACAGACAUGCUAACAAUGGCUCUUGUGCCAAACGCAAGCAAACAGCAUGGUUGAUAUUAGAAGAAAGUACUUCGUCAGAACCUUAACUGGCCAACAAAACUGAUGACACACACAACUGUGAAAAUUGUAUAGAACAGUUUAUUAAAUUCAGACUUAUAAGAAGUCGUAUUCCAAUGCGCUCCAUGGCAUGAAGCGCUCAGUGUAACGCCAACCCACAAAGGAUUGAUCCGCCCACGAAACAUAAAUAAACCAAAUCGACAUAUUUACAGUUCAACAUGGACAGAUGGAGAAAUGGGAUUGGUGCACAGAGACCAAAGCGUCUGCGUGUGCAGGCAGAGGCUCGAGACGCGCAGUGGAAUUGGUUUCCAUUCGAACAAUUUAUCCGAGAAAACUACUCGGGUUUAUGGAAAACAAACGAGGACGGAAAACUUAGGAUGGGAUCACAUUUUCUGGGUAUGACUGUUAAUCCACCAAUCAGCAAUGCUGCAGUCAGUAUACAAAGAUGAUGCGGUAUUUUACUAAUGUAGUCGAAUACAGUUGUGAAGGUUUGUCCCGUUAUCCAACAUGUAUUUGGAGCAAAAUUCAUUCUGGAAACAAAAACUCCUGAGGAAUGAUUGUUCCAAACCCUCUCGUGAAAUAUAAACCAGUAAUCAAAGAGAAAAAUUGCAACAAUAUUUCUAUUUUUUUUUAAAAAAUGUCAGAAAAGGAUUAUAGUAACAUACAAAAACAACACCAGGAGGGUUUGGUUUUGACGAGGCGAAAUCACUUAAAAUCCACCCAGCUUCCACUUUUAACAGGGUGGGCCUUCUUUAAAUUUGGGAACAGUGAUAAUUUUACAACUCUGAAUCAUCGUGUGUAAACUGACCAGAUGAACGAACAAAAAACCAUCAGUUUGACUUCCUCCGUCUGACACAGUCAAGAAUAACGUGAUCUAAAAACCCUGCAGAAUGAUAAUAAUAAUAAAAACUGCACUCAUUGUGAAAAAAGAGGUGUUUAGAAAAGUACAAUCAUAGAAAGCACAACCUACAGCUAACAGUUUGUGUGUAGUUCCAAAAAUCAGGUCAUGUGACUCUUCCAGCGCAUUAAAACAAAGGCCAUGUGGAUUACACAACCGUCAUCAGGUCCAGGUCCCCCACAGACACAGCAGAGGGGAUAAAACAGUACCAACCAACUCUUUUUAUGGAAAUGCUGUAUUGUUGCGACACAGGGAAGCUGCAGAACUCAACUUCUGUUUUUGUGUGUGUGUUUUUUUUGCAGCGAUGCACCGAUCUGAGCACAGAUUUAUUCAGGUUUCUUUUUACGCCAUUUAUUAAAUGCAUCAAAAGUGCAAAGAUUACACUACUUUAGGUUUGUAAAUGCAUCAACUAACAUUUAUCCUCAUUUUCAAAGUGCAAUAUGAAAAAUUAAUCAAAAUCGAAUGAAGGUCAUAAACAUACGCUUCAAUUAAUAAAUGGGGACUAUCCUUCAUUUUCUGUUGAAUUUAAACUCCAUUACUUUGCCCUAUAUUUUAUAUCAGGUCAGUUUUCAAUCUUUAUUGAAAGUAACGGAUCAAAAGCAUUUUAGCCACACGUCAGUAAAAAUGACUAUCAUGAUGCUAGUUGUUGUUAGCCCAAAGUUAGUUGUUUUAAAGUUUGAUUUAAAACAAUUAACUCCACUAUUUCCCCCCAUAUUUUAUAUCAGGUCAGUGUUCAAUCUGUAUGAACAUCAAAUAUUACAUUUCGGAAAGACAUUGCAGCCAAGUGUGGAAUUCAAGUUGGACAUCAGUUGGAGUUGCUAAUUGUCAUGAUGCUAGCUAUAGUUAGCCCCUAUACGCUAAUGAUGUAUUUUUCUGUUAGAUUUAAAACAACCACCUCUGUUGUUUUCUCGUGUAUGUUAUAUCUGAUCAGUGCUCAGUCUAUAUUGAAAGUAAAAAAGAUCAGAUUUAGGAAGGACGUUAAAGCUAAGUGUGGCAUGUGCAACUACAGCUAGCUACGCAGGCUAGCUGUAGAUAGCUGUAAAUGCUAAUAAUGUAUUUUUCCUCCAUUUGAUGCACUUAAACAGUACAGGUACAUGCUUACAAGUUGUUCAAAUUUAUAGUAAAUAUGCUAUGAGCUUAAUGAGAUCCAAAAAUUCAUGUGGUCUUCAUCAGAAGGUUUUAUUUGGAUUUUAGGCUGAGUUAUUGUUGUAUUUUUGACUGUGAACUUGGAAAAUCUGAUUUUGGAAUACAAAGUGUACCCAUCAGCAGCUCCUACACAUCAGACCUUUUCAAAAUGGGGAUUGGUUGGUCAGACUUUUUUGUUCCAGCGGGCAAAUUUAAAAGGUGGGUACAUGUUGACUUCAUUUUGGCAGGCCACUAUUUUCACAGCUGAAAACGUUCGCUACAAAACAGGCUAAACAAAAGUCAAUGACCAGAGCUCAUUGAAGUCUAGCUCUGAUGUAGCAGCCGAACCUUGAAACGCUCCACCGAUACUGGAAAUGACAAACCUUAGGUCUUCUUCACACAGUAACAACAUCCACACUGAGAACUGUUAUCACUAGCUGACAAUUCUUGUGUAUGGUGUGUUCACACAUCGGAAGAAUACCAGAUGUUUGAGAUUUGUAUUUGCCCGUCGAACUGAAAAUUCUCGGUGCAUCUCUACAAAAAACAAACAAACAAUUUCCUUUAUUACUGUAACCAUAAAAAAGUUUUUGUUUUGUGCGUUUCAGGGGGGGGGAAUCGCCAGCAGAAGGCUGUUGAAUCAUCCAUAAUCAGAGGUGUGUUAUCGGUUGCAGAAAAGUACACUUAGCUGUCUUUCCAAAUGGCACUCCGGGUCCUGCAAGCUUCCCUCUGGUGUUUUUUUUUUUCUUCUCUUUCCAAAGCAAGGCAACGCUCUCCACUUGGUUCCCCAAAAACAUGUGAAAACAAACACUGAGAAUAAUUUCAUAGAGGUGACCACCGUGGUCUCGUCUCCAGGCGGGUGGGUCACACUGUAACAUUCAGCUAUCCAUUAACGGCAAAGAGCGAACCUCCUCUUUGUUUUCGUCUCUCACAGUAUAUCACACUAUCUUACAGGUCAAUAUGAAAAAACAAAAAAAGCCUUUUA
Xiphophorus couchianus (Monterrey platyfish) is the source of this 7705-nucleotide long non-coding RNA. RefSeq lists it as uncharacterized. The record is from RefSeq and is a predicted model, not a curated record. Lineage: Eukaryota; Metazoa; Chordata; Actinopteri; Cyprinodontiformes; Poeciliidae. The transcript has 2 exons.